UGUAAUCAUGAUUACUUUUUUUGAUUUUUUAAUUUAUUGUGAAUGCUAUCACCACUAUUACUAUUCGGCCACUACUGCUCCUACACCACAACCAUUACCACCAUCAUCUUGUUACCACUAUCGCUAUUACUAUCACCUGACUAUCGUUAUCACUAUUUAGCUAUUGUUAUUUCUACCACCACUUGAUCACCAACAUCACUAUUGCCUCACCUUGCUACCACCACUACUAUCUAAUUACUACUGUCACCACAACUGCCACCAUCGCCGCUACCACCACUGCCACUUAGCCACCGCUAUCACUCAACUAUUAAUCACUAUAAUCAUUACUACUUAUUAUUAACAUUAUAAAUAA
RNAcentral lists this unclassified non-coding RNA (352 nucleotides) under Hevea brasiliensis (rubber tree). Lineage: Eukaryota; Viridiplantae; Streptophyta; Magnoliopsida; Malpighiales; Euphorbiaceae. The record is from RNAcentral.